RNAcentral lists this transfer RNA (69 nucleotides) under Tolypeutes matacus. RNAcentral's name for it is "tRNA-Ala". It matches the Rfam family "tRNA". From Rfam's summary of the family: Transfer RNA (tRNA) molecules are approximately 80 nucleotides in length. Lineage: Eukaryota; Metazoa; Chordata; Mammalia; Cingulata; Chlamyphoridae. The record is from RNAcentral.
GAGGAUUUAGCUUAAUUAAAGUGUCUGGUUUGCGUCCAGAAGAUGUGGGGUAUAGUCUCGCAAUCUUUG